AUAUUGGACAAUGGGCGCAAGCCUGAUCCAGCCAUGCCGCGUGAGUGAUGAAGGCCUUAGGGUUGUAAAGCUCUUUCAUCAGGGAAGAUAAUGACGGUACCUGAAGAAGAAGCCCCGGCUAACUUCGUGCCAGCAGCCGCGGUAAUACGAAGGGGGCUAGCGUUGCUCGGAAUCACUGGGCGUAAAGCGCACGUAGGCGGCUUUCUAAGUCAGGGGUGAAAUCCCGGAGCUCAACUCCGGAACUGCCUUUGAUACUGGCAAGCUAGAGUCCGGAAGAGGUGAGUGGAACUCCUAGUGUAGAGGUGGAAUUCGUAGAUAUUAGGAAGAACACCAGUGGCGAAGGCGGCUCACUGGUCCGGUACUGACGCUGAGGUGCGAAAGCGUGGGGAGCAAACAGG
RNAcentral lists this ribosomal RNA (398 nucleotides) under uncultured bacterium. Its description in RNAcentral is "bacterial SSU rRNA". It matches the Rfam family "Bacterial small subunit ribosomal RNA", at positions 361 to 776 of the family's 1533-position model. The record is from RNAcentral.